UACGUAGGGGGCAAGCGUUGUCCGGAAUCAUUGGGCGUAAAGCGCGCGUAGGCGGCUAGAUCAGUCUGCUGUAAAAGUCAAAGGCUCAACCUUUGAAAGCCGGUGGAUACUGUCUAGCUAGAGUCCGGAAGAGGCGAGUGGAAUUCCUGGCGUAGCGGUGGAAUGCGCAGAUAUCAGGAGGAACACCAACGGCGAAAGCAGCUCGCUGGGACGGUACUGACGCUAAGGCGCGAAAGCGUGGGGAGCGAACAGG
RNAcentral lists this ribosomal RNA (253 nucleotides) under uncultured bacterium. RNAcentral describes it as "partial 16S ribosomal RNA". It matches the Rfam family "Bacterial small subunit ribosomal RNA", at positions 524 to 776 of the family's 1533-position model. The record is from RNAcentral.